ACGGGUGAGUAACGCGUGGGAACGUGCCCUUCGGUUCGGAAUAACUCAGGGAAACUUGAGCUAAUACCGGAUACGUGCGAGAGCAGAAAGGUUUACUGCCGAAGGAUCGGCCCGCGUCUGAUUAGCUAGUUGGUGAGGUUAUGGCUCACCAAGGCGACGAUCAGUAGCUGGUCUGAGAGGAUGAUCAGCCACACUGGGACUGAGACACGGCCCAGACUCCUACGGGAGGCAGCAGUGGGGAAUAUUGGACAAUGGGGGCAACCCUGAUCCAGCCAUGCCGCGUGAGUGAUGACGGCCUUAGGGUUGUAAAGCUCUUUUCUCCGGGACGAUAAUGACGGUACCGGAGGAAUAAGCCCCGGCUAACUUCGUGCCAGCAGCCGCGGUAAUACGAAGGGGGCUAGCGUUGCUCGGAAUCACUGGGCGUAAAGGGCGCGUAGGCGGCUGAUUUAGUCGAGGGUGAAAGCCCGUGGCUCAACCACGGAAUGGCCUUCGAUACUGAUUGGCUUGAGACCGGAAGAGGACAGCGGAACUGCGAGUGUAGAGGUGAAAUUCGUAGA
This 557-nucleotide ribosomal RNA is filed under the name uncultured Methylobacterium sp. RNAcentral's name for it is "bacterial SSU rRNA". It matches the Rfam family "Bacterial small subunit ribosomal RNA", at positions 102 to 694 of the family's 1533-position model. The record is from RNAcentral. Lineage: Bacteria; Pseudomonadati; Pseudomonadota; Alphaproteobacteria; Hyphomicrobiales; Methylobacteriaceae.